RNAcentral lists this ribosomal RNA (211 nucleotides) under uncultured prokaryote. RNAcentral describes it as "partial 16S ribosomal RNA". It matches the Rfam family "Bacterial small subunit ribosomal RNA", at positions 524 to 734 of the family's 1533-position model. The record is from RNAcentral.
GACAGAGGUGCCAAGCGUUAGGCGGAAUCACUGGGCUUAAAGCGUGUGUAGGCGGGUUCGUAAGUACCUUGUGAAAUCCCACGGCUUAACCGUGGAACUGCUCGGUAUACUGCGAGUCUUGAGCCAACUAGGGGCUACUGGAACAAAUGGUGGAGCGGUGAAAUGCGUAGAUAUCAUUUGGAACGCCAAUGGUGAAAACAGGUAGCUGGGG